GCGGCCGGGACCGAGGGUUUGGUGCACCUCGAUUUGGAGGAAGUAGGGCAGGGCCCUUAUCUGGAAAGAAGUUUGGAAACCCUGGGGAGAAAUUAGUUAAAAAGAAGUGGAAUCUUGAUGAGCUGCCUAAAUUUGAGAAGAAUUUUUAUCAAGAGCACCCUGAUUUGGCUAGGCGCACAGCACAAGAGGUGGAAACAUACAGAAGAAGCAAGGAAAUUACAGUUAGAGGUCACAACUGCCCGAAGCCAGUUCUAAAUUUUUAUGAAGCCAAUUUCCCUGCAAAUGUCAUGGAUGUUAUUGCAAGACAGAAUUUCACUGAACCCACUGCUAUUCAAGCUCAGGGAUGGCCAGUUGCUCUAAGUGGAUUGGAUAUGGUUGGAGUGGCACAGACUGGAUCUGGGAAAACAUUGUCUGUAAUAUUUGCUUCCUGCCAUUGUCCACAUCAAUCAUCAGCCAUUCCUAGAGAGAGGCGAUGGGCCUAUUUGUUUGGUGCUGGCACCAACUCGGGAACUGGCCCAACAGGUGCAGCAAGUAGCUGCUGAAUAUUGUAGAGCAUGUCGCUUGAAGUCUACUUGUAUCUACGGUGGUGCUCCUAAGGGACCACAAAUACGUGAUUUGGAGAGAGGUGUGGAAAUCUGUAUUGCAACACCUGGAAGACUGAUUGACUUUUUAGAGUGUGGAAAAACCAAUCUGAGAAGAACAACCUACCUUGUCCUUGAUGAAGCAGAUAGAAUGCUUGAUAUGGGCUUUGAACCCCAAAUAAGGAAGAUUGUGGAUCAAAUAAGACCUGAUAGGCAAACUCUAAUGUGGAGUGCGACUUGGCCAAAAGAAGUAAGACAGCUUGCUGAAGAUUUCCUGAAAGACUAUAUUCAUAUAAACAUUGGUGCACUUGAACUGAGUGCAAACCACAACAUUCUUCAGAUUGUGGAUGUGUGUCAUGACGUAG
This 946-nucleotide long non-coding RNA is filed under the name Homo sapiens (human). Its description in RNAcentral is "HSALNT0243842". Lineage: Eukaryota; Metazoa; Chordata; Mammalia; Primates; Hominidae. The record is from RNAcentral.